RNAcentral lists this long non-coding RNA (1850 nucleotides) under Sus scrofa (pig). RNAcentral's name for it is "lncRNA (ENSSSCG00070006577.1)". The record is from RNAcentral. Lineage: Eukaryota; Metazoa; Chordata; Mammalia; Artiodactyla; Suidae.
AUGCUGGAGGCUCUGCUGGGCAGCUGGGGAUUAUGGGCAUUGAGGGCUUGGCCUGGGAGUCAACCAUUAGUCAUGUCCCUGUGGUCUUCUGCAGUCAGUCUAUCACUCGUUCUCUCUGUUGUCAUGUAUUUUCCAGAAUCUUGCUUUGGGAGGAAAGGAUCUUGCUUCAGGAGCCUGAGGAUAAGUUUGUCCUCUGCGAGCUUGGCUAGACUAAUCCCCUGGUGGCCGCACAACAGGGUGCACCCAGCCACUGAGCCAGAUGAAGCAACGCACGACGAUGUUGUGGAGGCCGGUGGGAGUGAGAAGACCGAGGAGGAGGCCCAGGCUGUGACCAAGGAGGAGGAGGCGGGCCCGGCCCCUGAGAAGGGGGCAGAGGAGGCCGCAGCCGUUGGCGAGGCAGAGGAGGAGGCGGGCCCAGGCAGUGACAAUGACAAGACGUCCCCAGCCAGGGCUGGGGCUGAGCAGGAAGAUGAAUCUGCCCCCAAGGUGGACGGGACGGACGGUGAAAGCUCGUGGAGCACUGUGAGUCUGUGUGGCAGCGUCCACGAUGAAGAUGACACAGGUAGGAACAGCUCUCGGGUAGGGGCCAAUGGGAGAGGGUUCCCUGGACACUUGGGUUACGCCUGCUGCUUGGGGUGUGGGGCAGGUGAGUCUGAAAUCUAACAACAGAAAGAAAUUGGUGUAAAGAUGUUCAGCGCCUGUUUUAAGAGGGAGAGGGAGCAGAUGAAGAGGUGCCGGAAUGUUGGCAUCUGUGCUCACAUUGGGUCGAAGGGUCUCAGUCCCUGGAGCCGAGGGAAGGUGUGGGCACCUGGAGGAAAAACCAGGGUGAUGCUCCGUGACCCGCAGUCACCUCAGGGACGGGGGAGAAGCGGGAGGGCCGCUGUUUGUACGUCCUUGAUUCCCCGUGGUGUGUUUCUGCAGACUCGGUGGUGGAGAGCAGCAACAGCCACCAGGACGAGGAGGCUGCAGGUAGGGAAGAGCACGCAGCUGGGAUCCAGUGGGAGAGGGUUCCUGGGAGCACCUGGGUUGCACCUGCUGCCGGGCGAGGGAGGAAGGGGGAUGGGACUUGGCGGGUGGGUGGGUGGCCUAAUGAGUGGAAGCCUGGUGUGGCGUUUUCCCCUCUGAAAUUGAUCACACGAAGAAGACUUGGGUGCCUGGUCUUUGUUGUGCUGUGUGUGUCUUCCUGUCUCCUUCCUUGGAGAGGGAAAAUGGAUUUUCCCUCCCAAGGCUGCUCCUUCCAGCUCUUGGCUCUGGCCACUGUGCCAGCUUGCUUUGUGACUCGCACCCUGAGGGUCCUGUGCACAAGAGCUGUUGACUUAGUUUCCUUUAGUGACCUUGAUGGACCUGACGGGGUGGGACGCCAACCUCUCCUAGGCCCCCGACCCUGGAGACGAAGUUGGUCUAGUGAGUGUCAGGUGGUGGGUGAGAAGGCAGCUCUCUCCCUCUGCACGUUCAGGAUUUCUGGGCUCCCUGACCUGUUGUGUCCUCACGGUGUGUCCUCAGGGAAGCGGCACUACCAGAGUUGGAUGAGUUACAGGAGUUGUCCUCUGAGUUCCUGUUGUAGCUCAGCGGUUAAUGGAUGCACCUUGGAACCAUGAGAUUGCGGGUUCGAUCCCCGGCCUCACUCAGUGUGGUGAGGAUCCAGGGUUGUUGUGAGCUGUGGUGUUGGUCACAGAUGCGGCUGGAUCCCACGUUGCUGUGGCUGUGGUUUGGGCUGGCAGCUGCAGCUCCGAUUGGCUCCCUAGUCUCGGAACCUCCAUAUGCUGCAAGAGUGGCCCUAGAAAAGGGAAAAAGGCAAACAUGCAAUACUGUAAAAUAAAGGAGAUGUCGUGUGGGGUUGCUGCGUAGGA